AUGGAUUGGUGCCUUCGGGAACUCUGAGACAGGUGCUGCAUGGCUGUCGUCAGCUCGUGUUGUGAAAUGUUGGGUUAAGUCCCGCAACGAGCGCAACCCUUAUCCUUUGUUGCCAGCGGUCCGGCCGGGAACUCAAAGGAGACUGCCAGUGAUAAACUGGAGGAAGGUGGGGAUGACGUCAAGUCAUCAUGGCCCUUACGAGUAGGGCUACACACGUGCUACAAUGGCGCAUACAAAGAGAAGCGACCUCGCGAGAGCAAGCGGACCUCAUAAAGUGCGUCGUAGUCCGGAUUGGAGUCUGCAACUCGACUCCAUGAAGUCGGAAUCGCUAGUAAUCGUGGAUCAGAAUGCCACGGUGAAUACGUUCCCGGGCCUUGUACACACCGCCCGUCACACCAUGGGAGUGGGUUGCAAAAGAAGUAGGUAGCUUAACCUUCGGGAGGGCGCUUACCACUUUGUGAUUCAUGACUGGGGUGAAGUCGUAACAAGGUAAGCGUAGAUGA
Molecule: ribosomal RNA, 503 nt
Filed under: uncultured bacterium
Lineage: Bacteria
Description: bacterial SSU rRNA
Rfam family: Bacterial small subunit ribosomal RNA
Source: RNAcentral